CAGCAGCCGCGGGAAUACGUAGGGUGCAAGCGUUAAUCGGAAUUACUGGGCGUAAAGCGUGCGCAGGCGGUUAUAUAAGUCAGAUGUGGAAUCCCCGGGCUCAACCUGGGAACUGCAUUUGAGACUGUAUGGCUAGAGUGUGUCAGAGGGGGGUAGAAUUCCACGUGUAGCAGUGAAAUGCGUAGAUAUGUGGAGGAAUACCGAUGGCGGAGGCAGCCCCCUGGGAUAACACUGACGCUCAUGCACGAAAGCGUGGAGAGCAAACAGGAUUAGAUACCCGCGUAGUCCCUGUCUCUUAUAC
Molecule: ribosomal RNA, 301 nt
Filed under: uncultured bacterium
Lineage: Bacteria
Description: partial 16S ribosomal RNA
Rfam family: Bacterial small subunit ribosomal RNA
Source: RNAcentral